AGAAAUACUCCUUCCCUUCGGGGCUCUCAGCAAGAUGCUGCAUGGUUGUCGUCAGCUCGUGCCGUGAGGUGUCGGGUUAAGUCCCAUAACGAGCGCAACCCUUAUCGUUAGUUGCCAGCGGGUAAUGCCGGGAACUCUAGCGAAACUGCCGGUGUAAACCGAGAGGAAGGUGGGGAUGACGUCAAAUCAGCACGGCCCUUAUGUCCAGGGCCACACACGUGUUACAAUGGCCGGUACAGAGGGCAGUUACCUGGAGACAGGAUGCGAAUCUCCAAAGCCGGUCUCAGUUCGGAUCGGAGUCUGCAACUCGACUCCGUGAAGCUGGAUUCGCUAGUAAUCGCGCAUCAGCCAUGGCGCGGUGAAUACGUUCCCGGGCCUUGUACACACCGCCCGUCAAGCCAUGGAAGUUGGGGGUACCUGAAGUCCGUAACCGCAAGGAGCGGCCUAGGGUAAAACCAGUGACUGGGGCUAAGUCGUAACAAGGUAGCCGUACCGGAAGG
RNAcentral lists this ribosomal RNA (500 nucleotides) under uncultured bacterium. RNAcentral describes it as "bacterial SSU rRNA". It matches the Rfam family "Bacterial small subunit ribosomal RNA", at positions 1002 to 1512 of the family's 1533-position model. The record is from RNAcentral.